This is a non-coding RNA of Cinara cedri, 250 nucleotides long. NCBI's taxonomy places the organism in Eukaryota, Metazoa, Arthropoda, Insecta, Hemiptera, Aphididae. The record is from the annotation of a GenBank genome assembly.
UUACGCGAGAAUGGUCUUGAACGAUGCGUUCGUUUUGUCCUUCGCAUUGAAUGUGAUAAUUUCGAAAAUGUCCCGAAGUCACGAUAUAAUAUUGCGAGUUGGGCGGACCAUGGUAUGCGUACCGACACGUUAAACGUUUACCGGCUUUCGAAACGCCGAGACGAUUCGAUUUGAAAACCGGCGUAUAGUCUUAUAAAUGGUACGACAGACACUGACAAACGGGUCAACGGGGGGGGGACCGGUACACACG